UACGUAGGGGGCGAGCGUUGUCCGGAUUCAUUGGGCGUAAAGGGCUCGCAGGUGGCCCGCCGCGUCGUGCGUGAAAGGCCCCGGCUCAACCGGGGGGUGUCGUGCGAUACGGGCGGGCUGGAGGCCAGUAGGGGGAUGCGGAAUUCCGGGUGUAGUGGUGGAAUGCGUAGAGAUCCGGAGGAACACCGGCGGCGAAGGCGGCAUCCUGGACUGGUCCUGACACUCAGGAGCGAAAGCGUGGGGAGCGAUCCGG
Molecule: ribosomal RNA, 253 nt
Filed under: uncultured bacterium
Lineage: Bacteria
Description: partial 16S ribosomal RNA
Rfam family: Bacterial small subunit ribosomal RNA
Source: RNAcentral